Molecule: long non-coding RNA, 247 nt
Organism: Papaver somniferum (opium poppy)
Lineage: Eukaryota; Viridiplantae; Streptophyta; Magnoliopsida; Ranunculales; Papaveraceae
Exons: 3
Source: RefSeq, a predicted model, not a curated record
CAAUAAGCUAGAGCGAUAAGAUCAAGCGUUAGGUUGAGGGAUUAGUCAACCCUAGUCUAACCCAACUUAAUUUUAAUCUGUUCCUGUUGCCACGCAUUAGUGUUGCAGCAAUGUCCCAUCAUAUCAUUGGAUUUCUUUUCAGUUGGCAAUUUCACAGUUGGCAGUUUCAAAGUUGGCUUUCUAUGGCAGUGGAUGCUGACAGAGCUGCGAGAUUUAUUUGGCCUCAUCUUCGUCGACAUAAUCUAUG